CCUACGGGAGGCAGCAGUGGGGAAUAUUGCACAAUGGGCGAAAGCCUGAUGCAGCAACGCCGCGUGAAUGAAGAAGGGUUUCGGCUCGUAAAGCUCUAUCAGCAGGGACGAAAAAAACGGCGGUACCUGAAGAAGAACCCCCUACUAACUACGCGCCAGCAGCCGCGGUAAUACGUAGGGGGCAAGCGUUAGCCGGAAUUACUGGGUGUAAAGGGUGAGUAGGCGGCAUGGGAAGUCAGAUGUGAAAGCCCUGGGCUGAACCCGAAGAUUGCAUUUGAAACUAUGAAGCUAGAGUACAGGAGAGGAAAGCGGAAGUCCUAGUGUAGCGGUGAAAUGCGUAGAUAGUAGGAAGAACACCAGUGGCGAAGGCGGCUGUCUGGACUGAAACUGACGCUGAGGCACGAAAGCGUGGGGAGCGAACAGGAUUAGAUACCCUAGUAGUC
RNAcentral lists this ribosomal RNA (443 nucleotides) under uncultured bacterium. Its description in RNAcentral is "partial 16S ribosomal RNA". It matches the Rfam family "Bacterial small subunit ribosomal RNA", at positions 338 to 795 of the family's 1533-position model. The record is from RNAcentral.